AAUAACUACUAAACCUUUGCUUUACACACACACACACACACGUAAGCUAAUGCAGGCACAACAUGGUUUAUUUCUUACUGUCUAAAGCGCUUCACUUAAUGAAAUGAUGAUUGUUUGAAGAUGGCUGACUGGAGUAGAUCAACCAGACAACAUGACGAAGAUCAAGGAAGUUCAGGAUUAUUUGACAGAAGAGGCAGCAAAAGUCUCCCUACAAACAUGUCUGUGAUAAAAGAAGAUUUGAGAAUAGUUCUUCUGGGGUCACAUGGAGAUGUUAAAGCCUCCUGUGGAAACGCAAUUUUUGGACGAAAGGUCUUCUCAGAGUCAGCGUCUUCUCUGCAUUUGUUUGAGAAGCAUGAUGAGAUAGUGCUGGAGAGACAUUUGGUGGUCACC
This is a long non-coding RNA of Puntigrus tetrazona (Sumatra barb), 390 nucleotides long. RefSeq lists it as uncharacterized. Lineage: Eukaryota; Metazoa; Chordata; Actinopteri; Cypriniformes; Cyprinidae. The record is from RefSeq and is a predicted model, not a curated record. The transcript is spliced from 3 exons.